Molecule: ribosomal RNA, 389 nt
Filed under: Thalassiosira minuscula
Lineage: Eukaryota; Bacillariophyta; Thalassiosirophyceae; Thalassiosirales; Thalassiosiraceae
Description: partial Bacterial small subunit ribosomal RNA
Rfam family: Bacterial small subunit ribosomal RNA
Source: RNAcentral
GGGAAUAUUGCACAAUGGGCGCAAGCCUGAUGCAGCCAUGCCGCGUGAAUGAUGAAGGCCUUAGGGUUGUAAAAUUCUUUCGCCAAGGAUGAUAAUGACACUACUUGGUAAAGAAGCCCCGGCUAACUUCGUGCCAGCAGCCGCGGUAAUACGAAGGGGGCUAGCGUUGUUCGGAAUUACUGGGCGUAAAGCGCACGCAGGCGGUCUGUUAAGUCAGAUGUGAAAUCCCCGGGCUCAACCUGGGAACUGCAUUUGAAACUGGCAGGCUAGAAUGCAGUAGAGGGAGGUGGAAUUUCCGGUGUAGCGGUGAAAUGCGUAGAGAUCUGAAGGAACAUCAGUGGCGAAGGCGACUCACUGGGCCAUUACUGACGCUGAGGUGCGAAAGCAAG